GGGGAAUAUUGGACAAUGGGCGCAAGCCUGAUCCAGCCAUACCGCGUGGGUGAAGAAGGCCUUCGGGUUGUAAAGCCCUUUUGUUGGGAAAGAAAAGCAGCCGGUUAAUACCCGGUUGUUCUGACGGUACCCAAAGAAUAAGCACCGGCUAACUUCGUGCCAGCAGCCGCGGUAAUACGAAGGGUGCAAGCGUUACUCGGAAUUACUGGGCGUAAAGCGUGCGUAGGUGGUUGUUUAAGUCUGUCGUGAAAGCCCUGGGCUCAACCUGGGAAUGGCGAUGGAAACUGGGCGACUAGAGUGUGGCAGAGGGUAGUGGAAUUCCUGGUGUAGCAGUGAAAUGCGUAGAGAUCAGGAGGAACAUCCGUGGCGAAGGCGACUGCCUGGGCCAACACUGACACUGAGGCACGAAAGCGUGGGGAGCAAACA
RNAcentral lists this ribosomal RNA (426 nucleotides) under uncultured Stenotrophomonas sp. RNAcentral's name for it is "bacterial SSU rRNA". It matches the Rfam family "Bacterial small subunit ribosomal RNA", at positions 356 to 774 of the family's 1533-position model. Lineage: Bacteria; Pseudomonadati; Pseudomonadota; Gammaproteobacteria; Lysobacterales; Lysobacteraceae. The record is from RNAcentral.